GAAGAUUAGCUUGUUAAAUUAGUAAUUUUAUGUUUGAGAAGAUUAUUGUUAUCAAAAUAUUGGUAAGUUUAUUAAAAAAAAGUAUUGUGAUAAGAAAUUUUUAUUAAAGCUAUAGAAGUUGUACUGUGAAGGAAAAUUGAAAUAAUAUUAGUACAAAAAAUAGGAAAGAAAAAGUUAAAUCUUAUACCUUUUGUAUAAUGGUUAAGUAAGAUUUAUCAAUUAUAAUUUUGUAUCCCGAAACUUGGUGAGCUAGUGUUUUCUUCUUUAGGGAGAAUGAAGGUUUACUGUUGCAAUAGUAAAUUUUGAGGAAACAUUAGAUGUGAAAUGUUAAUCGUACUAAGAGAUAGCUGGUUUUUCAAGAAAUUGAUGUUAGUUAAGUAUAAAUUUAUAAUAAAAAGGAUUUUUUGUGAAAAAAAAAUAAUAGAUUAUAAUUUUUUAUUGUGAGACAAAUAGGGAUAAGCUUGUUUGUUGAAUAGGAAAAAGCCUUGAUAAUAAAUUAAAGAUGAAAAUUUUUGUUAAUGUGAAAGCAGGAAAAGUAUAAGUAGGAUUAAUAGCAUCUAUCUUAAUAGAAGGAGUUAAAGCCCAUACUAAGGAUGUUUAAUCAAAUAAUAUUAAAGUUGAUUCUAAAGUUAUUUUUAAUUAUUGAAAAAUUGUAUGUAAUUACAUGAUAUAAUGCUUAAAUGAGUAAAGAAUACUAUCAAUUGUAUAUUAUACCAUUCCUAACUAAGGAAGGAGAAAAUAUAAUAGUUUAUCGGGAAAGAUUUUUUUAUAGAUUGUCUACCAACUCAGGAGAUAGUUUGUUAUUAAAAUAAGAAAAAGGAACUCGGCAAAAUUUUACCUCGCCUGUUUACCAAAAACAUCGCCCUUUGUAAAAUAAUUAAGAUAUAAGGGGUACUGCCUGCCCAGUGACGUAGUUAAACGGCCGCGGUAUUUUGACCGUGCAAAGGUAGCAUAAUCAUUUGCCUCUUAAAUAGAGGCUGGUAUGAAUGGCAAGACGAAGGUUAAGCUGUCUCUUUCUUAAAUCUUGAAUUUAAUAUUUUUGUGAAGAAGCAGAAAUUUAUUCGUAGGACGAGAAGACCCUAUCGAGCUUUAAUUAUACAUAUAUUUAUGGUUGUAUUAUUUAAUAAAGUUAAUCAUAUUAGAUUAGUAAGAAAUUAGAAUUAUUUUAAAGAAUAAGUAUUAUUAAGUAUAUAGAUUUUGAUUGGGGCAAUCGUGGAGAAAAAAUAUCCUCCAUUAUGAAAUAAUAAAUAACAAUUUAUAUUAUAAAGAUCCGCUGUAUAGCGAUUUAAGGAAUAAGUUACCGUAGGGAUAACAGCGUAAUUUUUUUGGAGAGUUCAUAUUGAUAAAAAAGUUUGCGACCUCGAUGUUGGAUCAAGAUUUCCUGGGGAUGCAGUAGUUUCUAUAGGUUGGUCUGUUCGACCAUUAAAAUCUUACGUGAUCUGAGUUCAGACCGGUGUAAGCCAGGUCAGUUUCUAUCCACGAAAGAUAGAUUUUUUUUAGUACGAAAGGACCAAAAAAGUAACACGAAUGUUUAAAAAUAGGUGUUAAAAAAAGUUUUGAAAAAAAAUGAAAUUUUUAUAAAAAAAUUUAAAC
Molecule: ribosomal RNA, 1593 nt
Filed under: Brisinga sp. SS-2022
Lineage: Eukaryota; Metazoa; Echinodermata; Asteroidea; Brisingida; Brisingidae
Description: 16S ribosomal RNA
Rfam family: Bacterial large subunit ribosomal RNA
Source: RNAcentral